This 1352-nucleotide ribosomal RNA is filed under the name uncultured bacterium. Its description in RNAcentral is "bacterial SSU rRNA". It matches the Rfam family "Bacterial small subunit ribosomal RNA", at positions 28 to 1381 of the family's 1533-position model. The record is from RNAcentral.
AUUGAACGCUGGCGGCAUGCCUUACACAUGCAAGUCGAACGGUAACGGGUCCUUCGGGAUGCCGACGAGUGGCGAACGGGUGAGUAAUAUAUCGGAACGUGCCCAGUAGUGGGGGAUAACUGCUCGAAAGAGCAGCUAAUACCGCAUACGACCUGAGGGUGAAAGGGGGGGAUCGCAAGACCUCUCGCUAUUGGAGCGGCCGAUAUCAGAUUAGCUAGUUGGUGGGGUAAAGGCCUACCAAGGCAACGAUCUGUAGUUGGUCUGAGAGGACGACCAGCCACACCGGGACUGAGACACGGCCCAGACUCCUACGGGAGGCAGCAGUGGGGAAUUUUGGACAAUGGGCGCAAGCCUGAUCCAGCAAUGCCGCGUGCAGGAAGAAGGCCUUCGGGUUGUAAACUGCUUUUGUCAGGGAAGAAAUCUUCUGGGCUAAUACCCCGGGAGGAUGACGGUACCUGAAGAAUAAGCACCGGCUAACUACGUGCCAGCAGCCGCGGUAAUACGCAGGGUGCGAGCGUUAAUCGGAAUUACUGGGCGUAAAGCGUGCGCAGGCGGCUUUGCAAGACAGAUGUGAAAUCCCCGGGCUCAACCUGGGAACUGCAUUUGUGACUGCAAGGCUAGAGUACGGCAGAGGGGGAUGGAAUUCCGCGUGUAGCAGUGAAAUGCGUAGAUAUGCGGAGGAACACCAAUGGCGAAGGCAAUCCCCUGGGCCUGUACUGACGCUCAUGCACGAAAGCGUGGGGAGCAAACAGGAUUAGAUACCCUGGUAGUCCACGCCCUAAACGAUGUCAACUGGUUGUUGGACGGCUUGCUGUUCAGUAACGAAGCUAACGCGUGAAGUUGACCGCCUGGGGAGUACGGCCGCAAGGUUGAAACCCAAAGGAAUUGACGGGGACCCGCACAAGCGGUGGAUGAUGUGGUUUAAUUCGAUGCGACGCGAAAAACCUUACCUACCCUUGACAUGUCAAGGAUUCUGCAGAGAUGUGGAAGUGCUCGAAAGAGAACUUGAACACAGGUGCUGCAUGGCCGUCGUCAGCUCGUGUCGUGAGAUGUUGGGUUAAGUCCCGCAACGAGCGCAACCCUUGUCAUUAGUUGCUACGCAAGAGCACUCUAAUGAGACUGCCGGUGACAAACCGGAGGAAGGUGGGGAUGACGUCAGGUCCUCAUGGCCCUUAUGGGUAGGGCUACACACGUCAUACAAUGGCCGGUACAGAGGGCUGCCAACCCGCGAGGGGGAGCCAAUCCCAGAAAACCGGUCGUAGUCCGGAUCGUAGUCUGCAACUCGACUGCGUGAAGUCGGAAUCGCUAGUAAUCGCGGAUCAGCUUGCCGCGGUGAAUACGUCCCCGGGUCU